GAUGAACGCUGGCGGCGUGCCUAAUACAUGCAAGUCGAGCGAACAGAUGAGGAGCUUGCUCCUCUGACGUUAGCGGCGGACGGGUGAGUAACACGUGGAUAACCUACCUAUAAGACUGGGAUAAAUUCGGGAAACCGGAGCUAAUACCGGAUAAUAUAUUGAACCGCAUGGUUCAAUAGUGAAGGACGGUUUUGCUGUCACUUAUAGAUGGAUCCGCGCCGCAUUAGCUAGUUGGUAAGGUAACGGCUUACCAAGGCAACGAUGCGUAGCCGACCUGAGAGGGUGAUCGGCCACACUGGAACUGAGACACGGUCCAGACUCCUACGGGAGGCAGCAGUAGGGAAUCUUCCGCAAUGGGCGAAAGCCUGACGGAGCAACGCCGCGUGAGUGAUGAAGGUCUUCGGAUCGUAAAACUCUGUUAUUAGGGAAGAACAAAUGUGUAAGUAACUAUGCACGUCUUGACGGUACCUAAUCAGAAAGCCACGGCUAACUACGUG
RNAcentral lists this ribosomal RNA (497 nucleotides) under uncultured bacterium. RNAcentral describes it as "partial 16S ribosomal RNA". It matches the Rfam family "Bacterial small subunit ribosomal RNA", at positions 28 to 507 of the family's 1533-position model. The record is from RNAcentral.